ACGGAAGGCAGCAGUGGGGAAUAUUGGGCAAUGGGCGAAAGCCUGACCUAGCAACGCCGCGUGAAGGAAGGAGGCCUUCGGGUUGUAAACUUCUUUUACCAGGGACGAAGGACGUGACGGUACCUGGAGAAAAAGCAACGGCUAACUACGUGCCAGCAGCCGCGGUAAUACGUAGGUUGCAAGCGUUGUCCGGAUUUACUGGGUGUAAAGGGCGUGUAGGCGGAGAGGCAAGUCAGAUGUGAAAUCCCGGGGCUCAACCCCGGAACUGCAUUUGAAACUGUCUCCCUUGAGUAUCGGAGAGGCAAGCGGAAUUCCUAGUGUAGCGGUGAAAUGCGUAGAUAUUAGGAGGAACAUCAGUGGCGAAGGCGGCUUACUGGGCUUUAACUGACGCUGAGGCUCGAAAGCGUGGGGAGCAAACAGGAUUAGAUACCCUGGUA
RNAcentral lists this ribosomal RNA (437 nucleotides) under uncultured Clostridium sp. RNAcentral describes it as "partial 16S ribosomal RNA". It matches the Rfam family "Bacterial small subunit ribosomal RNA", at positions 341 to 792 of the family's 1533-position model. The record is from RNAcentral. Lineage: Bacteria; Bacillati; Bacillota; Clostridia; Eubacteriales; Clostridiaceae.